Long non-coding RNA from Bactrocera tryoni, 907 nucleotides. RefSeq lists it as uncharacterized. Lineage: Eukaryota; Metazoa; Arthropoda; Insecta; Diptera; Tephritidae. The record is from RefSeq and is a predicted model, not a curated record. The transcript has 3 exons.
UCCGCCGCCAUAUGUAGCAUUUGACAGUUGCCGCGAAUAUAAAAAUGAAUAAGAAACUGCAAAUUUGAGCAAAGAGUUAAAAGUUUAAAAAAUAUAAUUAAAUAAUGCCAAAUUAAGUGUGUGCUGUAGUGAAGUUAAGUGUAGUGAUUAUUUUACAAAGCGUUUAAACAAUGAAGAAGUGCUAGCGCUGUUGUUCAAUUCCCAUAAUAGUGGGUUCUACUUUGCGGUACUUGAUCCGGAUUUUAUCAGGCAAAGGACUCUUUCCGAGAUAUAACCCUGUUUAGACCGGUUAAGCGCUUAUGAGGGGGAAGAAGAGUUAGUGAGAGGGUGCUGCACAACAAACAUAGAAUAAAACACAAAACACCAAAAAUAUUCGCAACGCAUUUCUACUUCUUAUGCACUCAUCUUUCUCUGCCACUGAACCACAUAAUUGCAGAAACAUUAAUGGUUUGUUGUGGAGUGAGAGACUGCAUGUUGUUGCGCUAAUGCACUAAUUAAGAGAUCAAAAGUAUUGAUGAGUGGCCGUGAGAGACAGCGUGAGUAUGUUGGAAUGUGUUACCGUUUGGUUUUCAUACUCAUUGCAUGUAGUGGAAUUUGGUGAACAGUUGCUGCUUGUGUUAAAGUGUAGAAAAAUUGCGAAUUUGACUAUAAAUUGUAAAUAAUUAAUUAAUAAAAUGUGUUUAAAAGUGUUUUAAAAUGUCUAGUGAAGUGUUCAAAGUGCGGCCAAUUGAAAAGUGUAUAAAUAGUGUUGUGAAAAAGUGUGUUAAAGCGCUUAAAAGAGUUUGUGUGCGAAAGUCAAUUGGCAUGCAAAUUGUUUGUGCAGUCGGUGCAUGUUCGUUUCUUGUGUGUUGUACAUCGUAUGUGUGCAUGCAAAGACUUGACGCAACAGGCAAAUAUGUAUGUAAGU